Molecule: ribosomal RNA, 305 nt
Filed under: uncultured eukaryote
Lineage: Eukaryota
Description: partial 18S ribosomal RNA
Rfam family: Eukaryotic small subunit ribosomal RNA
Source: RNAcentral
CCCUUAGAAGGUCUGGGCUGCACGCGCGCUACAAUGACACAUUCAACGAGUUUCCGAAGUCGAUAGACUGCGGUAAUCAGCAAAAUGUGUCUCAGUGGGGAUAGAUGAUUGCAAUUGUUCAUCUUGAACAGGGAAUAUCUAGUAAGCGUGAGUCAUCAACUCGCAUUGAUUACGUCCCUGCUCUUUGUACACACCGCCCGUCGCUCCUACCGAUUGAAUGCCAAAAUGAAUUGGAUGGAGAGGGAUCCUCGGGUUCCUCGAAGUUCCGUGAAUUUUGUUAUUUAGAGGAAGGAAAAGUCGUAACA